GAUGAACGCUGGCGGCGUGCCUAAUACAUGCAAGUCGAGCGAACGGACGAGAAGCUUGCUUCUCUGAUGUUAGCGGCGGACGGGUGAGUAACACGUGGAUAACCUACCUAUAAGACUGGGAUAACUUCGGGAAACCGGAGCUAAUACCGGAUAAUAUUUUGAACCGCAUGGUUCAAAAGUAAAAGACGGUCUUGCUGUCACUUAUAGAUGGAUCCGCGCUGCAUUAGCUAGUUGGUAAGGUAACGGCUUACCAAGGCAACGAUGCAUAGCCGACCUGAGAGGGUGAUCGGCCACACUGGAACUGAGACACGGUCCAGACUCCUACGGGAGGCAGCAGUAGGGAAUCUUGCGCAAUGGGCGAAAGCCUGACGGAGCAACGCCGCGUGAGUGAUGAAGGUCUUCGGAUCGUAAAACUCUGUUAUUAGGGAAGAACAUAUGUGUAAGUAACUGUGCACAUCUUGACGGUACCUAAUCAGAAAGCCACGGCUAACUACGUG
RNAcentral lists this ribosomal RNA (497 nucleotides) under uncultured bacterium. RNAcentral's name for it is "partial 16S ribosomal RNA". It matches the Rfam family "Bacterial small subunit ribosomal RNA", at positions 28 to 507 of the family's 1533-position model. The record is from RNAcentral.